Long non-coding RNA from Lolium rigidum, 422 nucleotides. RefSeq lists it as uncharacterized. The record is from RefSeq and is a predicted model, not a curated record. The transcript has 2 exons. Lineage: Eukaryota; Viridiplantae; Streptophyta; Magnoliopsida; Poales; Poaceae.
UACGCCACAAAUGCUUCUCCUGUGCGGCUCGAGCCACAGAAGGUAACUUUUGAUAAUAACCUGUGAUACUAAUGUGGCCUUUUCACGCCUUUGGCUGGGAGAACCUUUGGUAUAAAGUUUGGUGGAUGUUACUGACGGAUGAGUUGUUAGCCGAGGAUGGGGCACAUAAUUUUGAGCAAAGAUGCUUUGAGGCAUGUUUGUUUCAGAUUAUGCACAUGUACAACAAUGGUACACCACGCGAAUUAAUGUGAAUCAGAUGAGAGUUCUUAUUUACCCUGCCAUCCUAGCUGAUUAUGUGGACUUUAUAAGGAUUUUUUUGCAGUCUACUUAUUUUAACUUUACGUCUAAGAUUAUUCGUAAAUCAUGUUCGAAUAAAAUGUACCCAAUGAUGUUUUAUCAUAAUAAAGCUUUAUUAAUUUAAA